GAUGAACGCUGGCGGCGUGCUUAACACAUGCAAGUCGAACGAUGAACCGGGUGCUUGCACUCGGGGAUUAGUGGCGAACGGGUGAGUAACACGUGAGCAACCUGCCCCUGACUCUGGGAUAAGCGCUGGAAACGGCGUCUAAUACUGGAUAUGUACCGUCACCGCAUGGUGUGCGGGUGGAAAGAUUUUUCGGUUGGGGAUGGGCUCGGGGCCUAUCAGCUUGUUGGUGAGGUAAUGGCUCACCAAGGCGUCGAAGGGUAGCCGUCCUGAGAGGUUGACCGGCCACACUGGGACUGAGACACGGCCCAGACUCCUACGGGAGGCAGCAGUGGGGAAUAUUGCACAAUGGGCGGAAGCCUGAUGCAGCAACGCCGCGUGAGGGAUGACGGCCUUCGGGUUGUAAACCUCUCUUAGCAGGGAAGAAGCGAGAGUGACGGUACCUGCAGAAAAGGCACCGGCUAACUACGUGCCAGCCGCCGCGGUAA
This 485-nucleotide ribosomal RNA is filed under the name uncultured bacterium. RNAcentral describes it as "partial 16S ribosomal RNA". It matches the Rfam family "Bacterial small subunit ribosomal RNA", at positions 28 to 523 of the family's 1533-position model. The record is from RNAcentral.